GCUGGAAUUAGAUGUAAUCCGAGAUCUAAGAAGUCGGAGGGACUUGUAAGGUAAGUCCGCACUAGCGGGUAUUCCAGCAAGAGAUCUUUUGAUGUUCAAGUUAGUCAAAACUCAAAAACAUUAAAAGGAAAAGAGAAGGGUGAAGAGAGAGGAGACCACUUUUUAUCCGAAAAGUUCUCUCCAAAUUAUCUUCUUCACUUCGUUUAUAAGGAGCUAAAGUCAUAGACUGUUAGUCAGAAUCCGUAGAUUAUUAGAUCUAAUUCUAUAGAUCAUUGGACCUCGUUUUGAUAGUUCGUUGGGAAGA
RNAcentral lists this long non-coding RNA (304 nucleotides) under Elaeis guineensis (African oil palm). RNAcentral describes it as "long non-coding RNA (EGUI_LNC000537)". Lineage: Eukaryota; Viridiplantae; Streptophyta; Magnoliopsida; Arecales; Arecaceae. The record is from RNAcentral.